RNAcentral lists this long non-coding RNA (1236 nucleotides) under Apteryx haastii (Great spotted kiwi). RNAcentral describes it as "lncRNA (ENSAHAG00000000390.1)". The record is from RNAcentral. Lineage: Eukaryota; Metazoa; Chordata; Aves; Apterygiformes; Apterygidae.
AUGGAGCAGCUCAUCCUGGAGGCCAUCUCCAAGCAUGUGGAGGAAAAGAAGAUGAUCAGGAGUAGUCAGCAUGGCUUCCCCAAGGGGAAAGCAUGCUUAACCAAUCUGAUAGCCUUCUAUGAUGGAAUGACUGGCUGGGUAGAUGAGGGGAGAACAGUGGAUGUUGUCUACCUUGCCUUCAGCAAGGCUUUUGACACUGUCUCCCAUAACAUCCUCACAGACAAGCUCAGGAAGUGUGGGCUAGAUGAAUGGACAGUGAGGUGGAUUGAGAACUGGCUGAAUGGCAGAGCUCAGAGGGCUGUGAUCAGCGGCACAGAGACUAGUUGGAGGCCUGUAGCUAGCGGUAUCCCCCAGUGGUCAGUACUGGGUCCGGUCUUGUUCAAUUUAUUCAUCAGUGACCUAGAUGAAAGGACAGAGUGCACCCUCAGCAAGUUUACUGAUGCUACAAAACUGGGAGGAGUGGCUGAUAUCCCAGAAGGCUGUGCUGCCACUCAGAGAGACUUGGACAGGCUGGAGAGGUGGGCGGAGAGGAACCUCAUGAAGUUCAACAAAGGCAAGUGCAGGGUCCUGCACCCAGGGAGGAAUAACCCCAGGCACCAGGACAGGUUGAGGGUUGACCUGCUGGAAAGCAGCUCUGCCAAGAAGGACCUGGGAGUGCUGGUGGACACCAAGUUAAGCAUGAGGCAGCAAUGUGCCCUAGUGGCCAAGAAGGCCAAUGGUAUCCUGGGGUGCAUCAGGAAGAGUGUUGCCAGCAGGUCGAGGGAGGUGAUCCUCCCCUUCUACUCAGMCCUGGUGAGGCCACAUCUGGAGUACUGUGUCCAGUUCUGGGCUCCCCAGUACAAGAGGGAUGUGGCGCUACUGGAGCAAGUCCAGUGGAGGGCUACAAAGAUGAUUAGGGGACUGGAGCAUCUCUCUUGUGAGGAAAGGCUGAGAGAGUUGGGCCUGUUUAGCCUGGAGAAGAGAAGACUGAGAGGGGAUCUUAUCAAUGUGUACAAAUAUCUGAAGGGAGGGUGUCAAAAGGAUGGAGCCAGACUCUUUUCAGUGGUGCCCAGCAACAGGACGCGAGGCAACGGGCACAAACUGAAACACAGGAAGUUCCAUCUGAACUUGAGGAAAAACUUCUUCACUGUGAGGGUGACGGAGCACUGGACCAGGUUGCCCAGAGAUGCUGUGGAGUCUCCUUCUCUGGAGAUAUUCAAAACCCGUCUGGACGUGAUCCUGUGCAAAGUGCUCUAG